AUUAUUGAAUAAAUUUGAACAGGUUGUUGCUGGCCCUCCUUGUAGGGGAGUAUGUGCACGCUUGUCUUCUUUAUUUUCUCCAACUUGUGCACAUAUUUGUAGGCUCUGGAAGCUUUUAUUGAGAAAUCAAAUAGAUUGAGGAAUUAGUGAAGCUUUUCCUUGUGCUGCCUUUCCAGGCCUAUGUUAUCUUUCACAAACUAUGAAAUGUGUUAUAGAAUGAUGUUACAAAAGUUGAAAUAAUAUUACAACUUUCAGCAACGGAUCUCUUGGCUCUCGCAUCGAUGAAGAACGCAGCGAAAUGCGAUAAGUAAUGUGAAUUGCAGAAUUCAGUGAAUCAUCGAAUCUUUGAACGCAUCUUGCGCUCCUUGGUAUUCUGAGGAGCAUGCCUGUUUGAGUGUCAUUAAAUUCUCAACUAUACAUAGCAGUAUAGAUUGGAUUAUGGGAGUUUUUCUUUGCAGGCUCUCUCAAAGAGUCAGCUCUCCUGAAAUAUAUUAGUGGUAUCUGUGCAGAAAACUACAGGUGUGAUAACUAAAUCCCAAGCCUCUAGUUAAGCUGAUUAGACUGCUUCUGAACCAAAAAAUCAUGUUGACUUGACCUCAAAUCAGGUAGGACUACCCGCUGAACUUAAGCAUAUCAAUAAGCGGAGGAA
RNAcentral lists this ribosomal RNA (649 nucleotides) under Inocybe kuruvensis. RNAcentral describes it as "eukaryotic LSU rRNA". The stretch from base 247 to 400 matches the Rfam family "5.8S ribosomal RNA". Lineage: Eukaryota; Fungi; Basidiomycota; Agaricomycetes; Agaricales; Inocybaceae. The record is from RNAcentral.